UACGUAGGGGGCUAGCGUUGUCCGGAUUUAUUGGGCGUAAAGAGCGUGUAGGCGGCCAGGUAGGUCCGUUGUGAAAACUCGAGGCUCAACCUCGAGACGUCGGCGGAAACCCUCUGGCUAGAGUCCGGAAGAGGAGAGUGGAAUUCCUGGUGUAGCGGUGAAAUGCGCAGAUAUCAGGAAGAACACCCGUGGCGAAGGCGGCUCUCUGGGACGGUACUGACGCUGAGGCGCGAAAGCGUGGGGAGCAAACGGG
This 253-nucleotide ribosomal RNA is filed under the name uncultured bacterium. Its description in RNAcentral is "partial 16S ribosomal RNA". It matches the Rfam family "Bacterial small subunit ribosomal RNA", at positions 524 to 776 of the family's 1533-position model. The record is from RNAcentral.